UACGAGGGGGGCGAGCGUUGUUCGGAAUUAUUGGGCGUAAAGGGUGCGUAGGCGGUUUGGUAAGUCUUGUGUGAAAUCUACAGGCUCAACUUGUAGUCUGCACGAGAAACUGCCGGGCUUGAGUAUGGGAGAGGUGAGUGGAAUUCCUGGUGUAGCGGUGAAAUGCGUAGAUAUCAGGAGGAACACCUGUGGCGAAAGCGGCUCACUGGACCAUGACUGACGCUGAUGCACGAAAGCUAGGGGAGCAAACAGG
RNAcentral lists this ribosomal RNA (253 nucleotides) under uncultured bacterium. RNAcentral's name for it is "partial 16S ribosomal RNA". It matches the Rfam family "Bacterial small subunit ribosomal RNA", at positions 524 to 776 of the family's 1533-position model. The record is from RNAcentral.